GGACAAUGGAGGCAAGUCUGAUCCAGCCAUGCCGCGUGCAGGAAGACAGCCCUAUGGGUUGUAAACUGCUAUUAUACAGGAAGAAACAUACCUACGUGUAGGAGUUUGACGGUACUGUAAGAAUAAGGAUCGGGUAACUCCGUGCCAGCAGCCGCGGUAAUACGGAGGAUCCAAGCGUUAUCCGGAAUCAUUGGGUUUAAAGGGUCAGCAGGCGGUCUUUUAAGUCAGAGGUGAAAUCUUACAGCUCAACUGUAGAACUGCCUUUGAUACUGAAAGACUUGAGUUAUUGUGAAGUAGUUAGAAUGUGUGGUGUAGCGGUGAAAUGCAUAGAUAUCACACAGAAUACCGAUUGCGAAGGCAGAUCACUAACAAUAUACUGACGCUCAGGGACGAAAGCGUGGGUAGCGAACAGGAUUAGAUACCUUGGUAGUCCACGCCGUAAACGAUGGAUACUAGCUAUUCGACUAACAUUGUUAGUUGAGUGGUAAGCGAACAAAUAAAAUGGA
This 506-nucleotide ribosomal RNA is filed under the name uncultured bacterium. RNAcentral's name for it is "bacterial SSU rRNA". It matches the Rfam family "Bacterial small subunit ribosomal RNA", at positions 366 to 868 of the family's 1533-position model. The record is from RNAcentral.